GACGAACGCUGGCGGCGUGCUUAACACAUGCAAGUCGAACGGAAAGGCCCUGCUUUUGUGGGGUGCUCGAGUGGCGAACGGGUGAGUAACACGUGAGUAACCUGCCCUUGACUUUGGGAUAACUUCAGGAAACUGGGGCUAAUACCGGAUAGGAGCUCCUGCUGCAUGGUGGGGGUUGGAAAGUUUCGGCGGUUGGGGAUGGACUCGCGGCUUAUCAGCUUGUUGGUGGGGUAGUGGCUUACCAAGGCUUUGACGGGUAGCCGGCCUGAGAGGGUGACCGGCCACAUUGGGACUGAGAGACGGACCAGACGCCUUCGGGAGGCAGCAGUGGGGAAUAUUGCACAAUGGGCGGAAGCCUGAUGCAGCAACGCCGCGUGCGGGAUGACGGCCUUCGGGUUGUAAACCGCUUUCGCCUGUGACGAAGCGUGAGUGACGGUAAUGGGUAAAGAAGCACCGGCUAACUACGUG
Molecule: ribosomal RNA, 468 nt
Filed under: uncultured bacterium
Lineage: Bacteria
Description: partial 16S ribosomal RNA
Rfam family: Bacterial small subunit ribosomal RNA
Source: RNAcentral